This 312-nucleotide ribosomal RNA is filed under the name uncultured eukaryote. RNAcentral describes it as "partial 18S ribosomal RNA". It matches the Rfam family "Eukaryotic small subunit ribosomal RNA", at positions 1470 to 1796 of the family's 1831-position model. The record is from RNAcentral.
CCCCUAGAUGUCCUGGGCCGCACGCGCAAUACAAUGUAAAGUUCAGAAAGCAUAUCCUGUUCCGGAAGGCAGUGGGUAAUCUUUUCAAUAUUUUACGUGUUAGGGAUCGAUCUUUGCAAUUAUAGAUCUUGAACGAGGAAUACCUAGUAAGUGCAGCUCAUCAGGCUGUACUGAUUACGUCCCUGCCCUUUGUACACACCGCCCGUCGCUCCUACCGAUUUCGAGUGGUCCGGUGAAUCUUUUGGAAUUAGAGUGCAAACUCAAACUAAGAUCGAUAAACCUUAUCACUUAGAGGAAGGAGAAGUCGUAACA